Molecule: ribosomal RNA, 331 nt
Filed under: uncultured eukaryote
Lineage: Eukaryota
Description: partial 18S ribosomal RNA
Rfam family: Eukaryotic small subunit ribosomal RNA
Source: RNAcentral
CCCUUAGAUGUUCUGGGCCGCACGCGCGCUACACUGAUGCAUUCAACGAGUCUAAAACCUGGUCUGAUAGGGCUGGGUAAUCUUUUGAAUGUGCAUCGUGAUUGGGAUAGAUGAUUGCAAUUCUUCAUCUUCAACGAGGAAUGCCUAGUAAACGCAAGUCAUCAGCUUGCACUGAUUACGUCCCUGCCCUUUGUACACACCGCCCGUCGCUACUACCGAUUGAAUGGUUUAGUGAGAUCUCUGGAUUGACGCUGGCUAGGGGGCGACCCUUGGCCAGGCUGUCGAGAAACUGCUCAAACUUGAUCAUUUAGAGGAAGUAAAAGUCGUAACA